Molecule: ribosomal RNA, 253 nt
Filed under: uncultured bacterium
Lineage: Bacteria
Description: partial 16S ribosomal RNA
Rfam family: Bacterial small subunit ribosomal RNA
Source: RNAcentral
UACGCAGGGGGCUAGCGUUGCUCGGAAUCACUGGGCGUAAAGCGCACGUAGGCGGCCAACUAAGUCAUACGUGAAAUCCCUCGGCUUAACCGGGGAACUGCGUCUGAUACUGGAUGGCUUGAGUUCGGGAGAGGGAUGCGGAAUUCCAGGUGUAGCGGUGAAAUGCGUAGAUAUCUGGAGGAACACCGGUGGCGAAGGCGGCAUCCUGGACCGAUACUGACGCUGAGGAGCGAAAGCCAGGGGAGCAAACGGG